UUUUGAUCCCAUAGCAGUUGCCUGUCUGAGGACAGAUUUCUCUCAUGCCUUCUCAAUUCCUCCUGUCUCUCCUCUUUCUCUCCAGACAAUGCUGGCAGUCCUCUCUUCUCACUAUACCUUCAUCAACUUCAUACGGAUGACAGAGUUUUCCAUCACUCCCUGUCCUGUCCUAACUUGGAAACUUCCAACACCAUGCCAAAGCAGGCAGAUGUCACUAGUGAUGCCAUAUCACAACCCUCAAGGACUUGGAAGGCAGUCAUGCUGCUGAAGACUCUGGAUGGAUCCACUCCAUCAUUUCCAUCACUCUCAUCUGGAAGUGCAGCCCCUGCCACAGCUUUGGCCUGGAGACCCUCUCUGGACUGUCAACGCGCAUGCGUCUGUGGGCGGAGCAUCGCUGCUCGCAGCACUUGGCAGCAGCAGUUUUUAAUUCGAGAGUUGAGCCCAGGGGCUGGAGGCCUUGCUUCAUCUCACCAGCAAGCUGUCCCUAGUGAAUGCAUCUGAUUCCAGGAAACUCUCUUUUCUGUGAGUCAGGAAACAUCCAUCCAGACUGUCUGAAUUAUCAAAGAAAAAAGAAAAAAAAAAUCUUGAGCUGAUGGCAUCCGAAUGAAUCAGUUACAGGGCUGGACCGGGGAGCUGAUUGGAGCUGUCAGGUUCCCUGUGGAGAGACAGCCCUGGGAGACUCUGCUCAAAGAGUGCCAGGACAUCAACAAUCAACAAGCUUUCAGGUGAAUUUCACAACACCUGUGGGAGGGGGAGCCCUCCAGCUCCUUACUGUUCUUAAUAACUCAGAGUCCAGUUAGUGAUGCACACAUGUGCAUGGGCGUGUGGCCACCCUCUGGGCCAUGAAUAACAUACUCCAUAUUCCCUGGAGAGAGUGACCCCCAUUCUGCCAGCAACCAUAACCGCCAAUAGCUGUGUCUUCUCAGGGAACUCUCCACCCAAGCUGGACUUAUGAGUGGCUUGACCUUGUGCAGGUGACCCCAGCUGUUGCGAGCUGAUGCUUGAGACAGCCAUGUCAGCUCUGAAAGCCAGCAUUUCACAGCUCUCCUCCCAUGCUGAUUCUCUCUUCUGUGAGGUUCUCGAGCUGUGGAUUGAGGGAGGGAGGUAGACAUAGAAGAUAGCUCUAGCGUUACCCCCAUUCAAGUCUCUUUUCUUGUACCAUGCAGCUUCUGAGAGCUUAACCCAUGACCAUUCACAGGUUUGGGUGAGCAUUCAUAGACACCAUACAUUGUGUCAGGAUCAUGACAUUCCGGGAUGUCACUCAAGAGCUGGGGUGACAGACCCUUACUCUGUGGACUGGGACAUGUUGAGAUAACAGUGCGGAUCUGGGAACAAGGAGAACUGUGGGUUCAAAUCCCUACACACCACUUAUUAAUCACAGUGCCUUGGGCAAGCUGUUUACAUUUCUGAGCCUCCGUGUUUUGACAUUUCAUUUGACAAGGCUGGUAUCCACAGUCCACCAGUGGU
Molecule: long non-coding RNA, 1467 nt
Filed under: Mus spicilegus (steppe mouse)
Lineage: Eukaryota; Metazoa; Chordata; Mammalia; Rodentia; Muridae
Description: lncRNA (ENSMSIG00000002608.1)
Source: RNAcentral